GAAAGAAGAGUGAGAUCUAAUGAAACCCUAGAUCUUCUUGCCGCAUCUCUUCGCCAUUGUCACCGUCAAGCUUGUCAUAGUGUUUGAGAUCAGAGGGAGAGUAAGCUCGUCGCUGCUGCGAUUCAUCGUCGUUACUGCCAUUCAUCGUCGUUGCUACUUUCCAAUUCUUUCAACUCUUCAACUACAUUAACACUUAAUUUCGCCGUUUUCAAUUGCAGCACAUGAAUCUCACCGCAGUCAAAGACGGCGACGAAAUCAUGGAGAGGUACGUCGAGGACACGCUUGCAAUCCUCCUUCCUCUUAAGGAUUGCUACCACACGUGCUGCGGCGGCGCGCCAUCACAUGAGAAGCUUAGCCUCGUGGACGUUGGAACAGGUGUUGGUCUUUCCGGAGUUGUUUUUGUCAUAGCUUGUCCAGGUUGCAUCUGUGGAUGAUCGGGGUCUGUCAGCCUGUUCCCUAUCCAAUGGCACCAUCUUCUCCUUCUUUUUCUCUUGCUUCUUCUUUGUUGCAUGUCUUUUGUACUUCUUUGCCGCCUCUUAACACCGUCUCCAUUGGUUUUUAUGAUUGUUGUUACUAAUGGGAGCAGAGUUCCGGGACUUGGUGAUCUUGGGAGUUCAUGGAAUUGGCAUCUUCAUUAGGAUGCUUGAUCUGUUUUUAUUAUUUUUGUUACUGAUGGCAAGAAAGUUUCACGCCAAGACACUGAGCUUGCAAGCAAAUCCUACUAGCUUGUCAGAGCUUGUAAGCAAAUCCUACUAGCUUGUCAGGAAGCUAAUUCAAAAAAAAAUAUAUAUAAAUCUUAAAACAUUUGUUUACAGAACAAGGAUAGAUUCUGGAUUUACAACUCUAGGUAUCCAUCUUGAAAUUCUCUAUCAUGCAAUUUAUGGUUUUCAUCCUUUUAGUAAUAUAAAUAGUUGAUUGUAUGAGUUAUUCAAUUUUUAUUUGAACAGAAUGGUUAUUUGUUACCUAAAUUAUUGAUGUAAUUUGUUUGAUUUCUCCACCUUGUAUUUAGUAUGGCAGAAGCUGGCAAAAGAGAAUGAUGAUUUGUUCAAUCAUUUUCACCCCUGUAAACAUAUUUUCACUCUCAUUUUCUGGUACUUUUUUUUAAGUCUACAUUUUGCUAUGAUUGAUGUCAUAACCUGUAUUGUUCAAUUUUCUUUGAAGUGGUAUCUUCCUUACUAGCAAUAGUUGUGAAGAAUAAUUUUCUUUAUUAGGUUUUGAUCAACACAAUGUAGCAAAUACUAUCUAAAUUAUUCCUAAUAUGCUGUUAGCUCUACCGUGUACUUUCAGAAGAAGGUGGUUUAAGAAAAUGGUUGGUUCUGCUUUUCUAGUACUUGCUACAAAUUCCUAUUAUUAGGGGUAAAAAAAUAUGAAUUUUCUGCAGACAUUGGUUAUUUAUUCGGGGAUACAAGUGAGCAUUGUAGGUUUUCCUUGCCAUCUAUUCAUUCUUGUUUAUUCUUUAGUUUUACCACACUUCUGCUUUUAAAAUUUCACAUCUAUGAACCUACUUAAAUACUAAUGAAUUUUAUAUUUUUGAAAUUCUAGCACAUUUAAAGACACCCGAACAAGAGGUGCUCUUGUAUUUAUUCUUGGGUUCUGGAGGUUGGAUCUUGCCAACAAUACUUUGUAGGUAAGGUCAAAGAAUUAGAAUGUGCUUCUUUCUAUUAUCUUUAUAUUGAUGAAAGAAAGUAAGUUUUCUAAAAA
Molecule: non-coding RNA, 1701 nt
Organism: Arachis ipaensis
Lineage: Eukaryota; Viridiplantae; Streptophyta; Magnoliopsida; Fabales; Fabaceae
Source: RefSeq, a predicted model, not a curated record